CAUGCACACAACCUCCCACGUCUCACGCCCCUCUCGCUCCCCUCUCUAUUUGGAUCUCACAGAAAAACUUCCGCCCGCAGCCGCGCUCCCCGCCCCCACACAGAUCUGCCACGAUGGCCUACCCUUCUCCAACGCCGUUCGACGGUCAUCUCGGUCGCCGUCGUGCAGCCCCUGUAGGCCGCCCUGAUCGGGACCGACACCUCACCUGGAUGGGGUGGUACGACCACGGCCCAAUGCGACGGCUGGAGGGGGGGGGUUCGUGGUGAUCCAAGCCAUGAUGUCGGAGGUCCAGGAGGAGGAGAGUGACGCCAGCUCAGCAGUGGCGGCGGCGAUGGAGACAGGAAGGAGGAGAGGUACGCGAGCUACGGCGACGGAGGCCAUGGCGGAGGUUGGGGAUGAGAGAUAAGCGCUCCACACCAUGUGCAGGGUGCUCGCCGGAAUGCCCAAUACGUGGAAGUGGCCGACGCCGUCCUGCCGCCGCUCUCCAUGCCGGUGCUCACGCCGUCCCUGCUGCACGUUCCUCUCCAGCAGCAACAGCAACACAUCAAAGGAGCUCCGGGUCAAGACGGUGGCGGCCGACAUGCAUAGUCUGCUCUUUGAGGAGGUCAUCCGCCUUCCUGUACAAUCUUGGCUUCGUGAGAAACUGGACUGAUUUGAUUUAAUUCAGUAGUUGUGGUAGUGUUGAAUUCUGCGAUGCAUCAUUUGUUUGGCAAGGCUUUACUCCAUUGGAGUCACUGAGAUUGAAGUAGGAGAGGAAGAAAAAGGAUGUCAUUGCAUAUUUGGGUCAGUGUUAAUUGCUUCUAUAUGACUCAAAAAGAAAAUAGAGACUACAAGUUAAACUGUGAAGAUUAUUUG
Molecule: long non-coding RNA, 855 nt
Organism: Triticum aestivum (bread wheat)
Lineage: Eukaryota; Viridiplantae; Streptophyta; Magnoliopsida; Poales; Poaceae
Exons: 2
Source: RefSeq, a predicted model, not a curated record